Long non-coding RNA from Leptopilina heterotoma, 478 nucleotides. RefSeq lists it as uncharacterized. The transcript is spliced from 3 exons. Lineage: Eukaryota; Metazoa; Arthropoda; Insecta; Hymenoptera; Figitidae. The record is from RefSeq and is a predicted model, not a curated record.
CAUUAGAUGUCUUUAAGAUGUCUAAAAGAUCUGUGGAUGUGGAAAGGACGUCCAAAAUACGUCUUUAGGACGUACUUUAGACGUCUUUUUUUACAUCUUUUAGAUAUCUUUUGAACCAGACAUAUAAUGUCUCUUAGUUGUUUUUAGAUAACUCUGAGACAUUACCAUCAUUGUCCCCGAAUAUCCGCGGACAAAAAGGGACGUCUUUUAGACGUCUCUAAGCUCACUGGGAAAUGUCAUAAAUGACAUUGCACACUGUCUGCCUUAUGAAGGCCGAUAAUGUAUUGGAACAUUAAUAUUUUUCUAUCUUUCGUAGGGGUGCUACAGACGUAGGACACUUAAGAGGACCUGAUAAGUGAUUAGUGAGCUCGCUUCCUACAACUCUACAUGAUUGGAAGAAAUGGAAGAAGAAAGUUUUGGAUGCACAUUUCAGGCAGAAAUAAGGGUAGCAAAGGAGAGGGGAUUUGCUAGAAUUGGU